RNAcentral lists this ribosomal RNA (739 nucleotides) under Funneliformis mosseae. Its description in RNAcentral is "26S ribosomal RNA". It matches the Rfam family "Eukaryotic large subunit ribosomal RNA", at positions 72 to 649 of the family's 3401-position model. The record is from RNAcentral. Lineage: Eukaryota; Fungi; Glomeromycota; Glomeromycetes; Glomerales; Glomeraceae.
AGAUUCCCUCAGUAACGGCGAGCGAAGAGGGAUAAGCUCAAAUUUUAAAUCUGCUGGGUUCCACCUAACAGAGUUGUAUUUUGAAGAAACGUUUUCUGCGUCCCGGGUUAGCCUAAGUCCUUUGGGAUAAGGUAUCAUGGAGGGUGAGAAUCCCGUUCAUGGUUAAUCUUAAGGNNNNNNNNNNNNNNNNNCGUUUUCCNNANANUCNANUUGNUUGGGAUUGNNGCNNAAAAUGGGAGGUAAAUUUCUCCUAAGGCUAAAUAUUGGCGAGAGACCGAUAGCGAACAAGUACCGUGAGGGAAAGAUGAAAAGAACUUUGAAAAGAGAGUUAAACAGUACGUGAAAUUGUUGAAAGGGAAACGAUUGAAGUCAGUCAUACCAACGGGAAAUCAACCUUUUGAGCUUUGUCUCCUGGGUUCGAAGAGUUUAAACGCCUUCGGGUUCGAGAGAUUGGGAUCUUCUGGUGUACUUUCUCGUACGGUUAGUCAACAUCGGUUUUGAAUGUCAUAAAAUGACUGGAGGAAUGUAGCUUCGAUCUAGUAUCGAAGUGUUAUAGCCUUUGGUAGAUGUGAUGUUUGAGACCGAGGAUUGCAACGGAUACCCUUCAUGGGCUAUUCGUCUGAUCUCUGAUACGUUGCCUUGACGUUGAAAGCUUGCUUAUGAUGUUAGGGUAUUACGGUCAAAAGGUUAGAACGGAUUAAAUUCGUUAAGGAUGUUGACGUAAUGACUUUAAACGACC